This 2925-nucleotide ribosomal RNA is filed under the name Escherichia coli. RNAcentral's name for it is "23S ribosomal RNA". It matches the Rfam family "Bacterial large subunit ribosomal RNA". Lineage: Bacteria; Pseudomonadati; Pseudomonadota; Gammaproteobacteria; Enterobacterales; Enterobacteriaceae. RNAcentral also lists the same sequence under 1 other name. The record is from RNAcentral.
GGGUUGUGAGGUUAAGCGACUAAGCGUACACGGUGGAUGCCCUGGCAGUCAGAGGCGAUGAAGGACGUGCUAAUCUGCGAUAAGCGUCGGUAAGGUGAUAUGAACCGUUAUAACCGGCGAUUUCCGAAUGGGGAAACCCAGUGUGAUUCGUCACACUAUCAUUAACUGAAUCCAUAGGUUAAUGAGGCGAACCGGGGGAACUGAAACAUCUAAGUACCCCGAGGAAAAGAAAUCAACCGAGAUUCCCCCAGUAGCGGCGAGCGAACGGGGAGCAGCCCAGAGCCUGAAUCAGUGUGUGUGUUAGUGGAAGCGUCUGGAAAGGCGCGCGAUACAGGGUGACAGCCCCGUACACAAAAAUGCACAUGCUGUGAGCUCGAUGAGUAGGGCGGGACACGUGGUAUCCUGUCUGAAUAUGGGGGGACCAUCCUCCAAGGCUAAAUACUCCUGACUGACCGAUAGUGAACCAGUACCGUGAGGGAAAGGCGAAAAGAACCCCGGCGAGGGGAGUGAAAAAGAACCUGAAACCGUGUACGUACAAGCAGUGGGAGCACGCUUAGGCGUGUGACUGCGUACCUUUUGUAUAAUGGGUCAGCGACUUAUAUUCUGUAGCAAGGUUAACCGAAUAGGGGAGCCGAAGGGAAACCGAGUCUUAACUGGGCGUUAAGUUGCAGGGUAUAGACCCGAAACCCGGUGAUCUAGCCAUGGGCAGGUUGAAGGUUGGGUAACACUAACUGGAGGACCGAACCGACUAAUGUUGAAAAAUUAGCGGAUGACUUGUGGCUGGGGGUGAAAGGCCAAUCAAACCGGGAGAUAGCUGGUUCUCCCCGAAAGCUAUUUAGGUAGCGCCUCGUGAAUUCAUCUCCGGGGGUAGAGCACUGUUUCGGCAAGGGGGUCAUCCCGACUUACCAACCCGAUGCAAACUGCGAAUACCGGAGAAUGUUAUCACGGGAGACACACGGCGGGUGCUAACGUCCGUCGUGAAGAGGGAAACAACCCAGACCGCCAGCUAAGGUCCCAAAGUCAUGGUUAAGUGGGAAACGAUGUGGGAAGGCCCAGACAGCCAGGAUGUUGGCUUAGAAGCAGCCAUCAUUUAAAGAAAGCGUAAUAGCUCACUGGUCGAGUCGGCCUGCGCGGAAGAUGUAACGGGGCUAAACCAUGCACCGAAGCUGCGGCAGCGACGCUUAUGCGUUGUUGGGUAGGGGAGCGUUCUGUAAGCCUGCGAAGGUGUGCUGUGAGGCAUGCUGGAGGUAUCAGAAGUGCGAAUGCUGACAUAAGUAACGAUAAAGCGGGUGAAAAGCCCGCUCGCCGGAAGACCAAGGGUUCCUGUCCAACGUUAAUCGGGGCAGGGUGAGUCGACCCCUAAGGCGAGGCCGAAAGGCGUAGUCGAUGGGAAACAGGUUAAUAUUCCUGUACUUGGUGUUACUGCGAAGGGGGGACGGAGAAGGCUAUGUUGGCCGGGCGACGGUUGUCCCGGUUUAAGCGUGUAGGCUGGUUUUCCAGGCAAAUCCGGAAAAUCAAGGCUGAGGCGUGAUGACGAGGCACUACGGUGCUGAAGCAACAAAUGCCCUGCUUCCAGGAAAAGCCUCUAAGCAUCAGGUAACAUCAAAUCGUACCCCAAACCGACACAGGUGGUCAGGUAGAGAAUACCAAGGCGCUUGAGAGAACUCGGGUGAAGGAACUAGGCAAAAUGGUGCCGUAACUUCGGGAGAAGGCACGCUGAUAUGUAGGUGAAGUCCCUCGCGGAUGGAGCUGAAAUCAGUCGAAGAUACCAGCUGGCUGCAACUGUUUAUUAAAAACACAGCACUGUGCAAACACGAAAGUGGACGUAUACGGUGUGACGCCUGCCCGGUGCCGGAAGGUUAAUUGAUGGGGUCAGCGCAAGCGAAGCUCUUGAUCGAAGCCCCGGUAAACGGCGGCCGUAACUAUAACGGUCCUAAGGUAGCGAAAUUCCUUGUCGGGUAAGUUCCGACCUGCACGAAUGGCGUAAUGAUGGCCAGGCUGUCUCCACCCGAGACUCAGUGAAAUUGAACUCGCUGUGAAGAUGCAGUGUACCCGCGGCAAGACGGAAAGACCCCGUGAACCUUUACUAUAGCUUGACACUGAACAUUGAGCCUUGAUGUGUAGGAUAGGUGGGAGGCUUUGAAGUGUGGACGCCAGUCUGCAUGGAGCCGACCUUGAAAUACCACCCUUUAAUGUUUGAUGUUCUAACGUUGACCCGUAAUCCGGGUUGCGGACAGUGUCUGGUGGGUAGUUUGACUGGGGCGGUCUCCUCCUAAAGAGUAACGGAGGAGCACGAAGGUUGGCUAAUCCUGGUCGGACAUCAGGAGGUUAGUGCAAUGGCAUAAGCCAGCUUGACUGCGAGCGUGACGGCGCGAGCAGGUGCGAAAGCAGGUCAUAGUGAUCCGGUGGUUCUGAAUGGAAGGGCCAUCGCUCAACGGAUAAAAGGUACUCCGGGGAUAACAGGCUGAUACCGCCCAAGAGUUCAUAUCGACGGCGGUGUUUGGCACCUCGAUGUCGGCUCAUCACAUCCUGGGGCUGAAGUAGGUCCCAAGGGUAUGGCUGUUCGCCAUUUAAAGUGGUACGCGAGCUGGGUUUAGAACGUCGUGAGACAGUUCGGUCCCUAUCUGCCGUGGGCGCUGGAGAAUUGAGGGGGGCUGCUCCUAGUACGAGAGGACCGGAGUGGACGCAUCACUGGUGUUCGGGUUGUCAUGCCAAUGGCACUGCCCGGUAGCUAAAUGCGGAAGAGAUAAGUGCUGAAAGCAUCUAAGCACGAAACUUGCCCCGAGAUGAGUUCUCCCUGACUCCUUGAGAGUCCUGAAGGAACGUUGAAGACGACGACGUUGAUAGGCCGGGUGUGUAAGCGCAGCGAUGCGUUGAGCUAACCGGUACUAAUGAACCGUGAGGCUUAACCUUACAACGCCGAAG